Molecule: ribosomal RNA, 930 nt
Filed under: uncultured archaeon
Lineage: Archaea
Description: bacterial SSU rRNA
Rfam family: Archaeal small subunit ribosomal RNA
Source: RNAcentral
UACCUGCAGCCCAAGUGGUGCUCGUUAUUAUUGGGCCUAAAACGUCCGUAGUCGGCCCGGUAGAUGCCCCGGGAAAUCGCAGCGCCUAACGUUGCGAAGUCGGGGUAGACCGCCGGGCUCGGGAUCGGGCGAGGCAACAAGUACUCCUGGGGUAGGGGUAAAAUCCUGUAAUCCUAGGGGGACUACCAGUGGCGAAGGCGUGUUGCCAGAACGAGUCCGACGAUCAGGGACGAAGCCCAGGGGCGCAAACGGGAUUAGAUACCCCGGUAGUCCUGGGUGUAAACGCUGCCGGCUUGGUGUCGGGGAUUCUACGAGGGUUCCCGGUGCCGGAGUGAAGAUGUUAAGCCGGCUGCCUGGGGAGUACGGCCGCAAGGCUGAAACUUAAAGGAAUUGGCGGGGGAGCACCGCAACGGGUGGAGUGUGCGGUUUAAUUGGAUUCAACGCCGGAAAGCUCACCGGGAGCGACCAUCCAAUGUGGGCCAGGCUGAUGACCUUGCCUGAAUGAUGGAGAGGUGGUGCAUGGCCGUCGUCAGUUCGUACCGCGAGGCGUUCUGUUAAGUCAGAUAACGAACAAGACCCUCGUCUCCACUUGCGAUCCAUGGAGCACAAUGGAGAGACCGCUGGCGCUAAGUCAGAGGAAGGUGAGGUCUACGGUAGGUCCGUAUGCCCCGAAUCUCCCGGGCUACACGCGCACUACAAAGGACGGGACAAUGGGCUCCGACGCCGAAAGGCGAAGGCAAUCCCGAAACCCGUCCGUAGUUCAGAUCGAGGGUUGCAAUUCACCCUCGUGAAGGUGGAACCCGUAGUAAUCGCGCGUCAACAUCGCGCGGUGAAUACGCCCCUGCUCCUUGCACACACCGCCCGUCAAACCAUGCGAGUAGGGUUGAAGUGAGGGGGUGGUUCUCGAACUUCAGCUUUGCAAGCGGGGUU